Calidris pugnax (ruff) is the source of this 962-nucleotide long non-coding RNA. RefSeq lists it as uncharacterized. The transcript is spliced from 3 exons. The record is from RefSeq and is a predicted model, not a curated record. NCBI's taxonomy places the organism in Eukaryota, Metazoa, Chordata, Aves, Charadriiformes, Scolopacidae.
CCGUGCCAGAGGAGUGCCACCAGCACAUACAGGAACUGUGGUACCUGCUGCAGGAACCAACACCUCCGCUGAUGCCAUGGUUUGGAGCUCUGUGACCAUAGACUCUGGUCUACUCAGCUGGAGAGAGACUCAACUGGAUAAUACCUUUGUCUUCUCUGAUGAUUUCACUGAAAGGGCAGAAAUACUGCAGCCACAACAUUUAGUGGAUAUCUGACAAAACCCCGGCCACUUCUGUUCUCCAGCGUCAGCAGAGCAGUAGAAGUUGUGAGCCCUUUAUUCAUUUUGGCACUUUUUUAUUACACUGGAUUCCUUCUUUCCCCCCAGGCGAUUUCUAGUAAACUAGAUCCCACAAAUGUGUUACAGUGUAAAGGAGAAAGAUGAAUUCUGAAUUGGAUUGGUUUGUAGGUUGCUUUCAUUGUAGGAUCUAACGAGCCCCUCUCCAUCCUUUAUUAGCAACUCUGUGCUCUUGUUUAGUUUUCCAGGAUAACACUGAGCAUGUUUGUGUUUCUGAGUGACGUAUGUAGCUCUGUGGUUGUCCUUAUUUCUCUUCAGAUAGAUCAAAAGACUGACAAUAAGAGUACAUUUAUAGGGAAGCAUAGGAGUUGCAAAAGUUAUUUCUGCAAGCCCAGAUGUGAAAAUGUGGUGUAUAAUUUCUUCUGUUAACUUCUAUUUUUCUAGUAGUUAAGUUCCUAAUGGUCUUACAAGAUUUUAAACUGGUCUACCUUACCUUGUUAUCAUCUAGUUUUGUUUAAUGGAAAGUUAAAAAAUAUAGAUCUUUGUAAAGGUGUGGUAUAUAAGAUGUAAAAGGCAUGCAGGAGCAAUCAAUAAUUACGUGGUUUAUAUUUUAAUAGAAAAUAAUAUUCUCUCUCAGAUGACUGUGGUUUCAAGAAAUAAAGGUAAGCUGUACUUCUGAUUAUUUUUCCCGGCAGCUGGUGUUGUAGGUUUCAAUACCUUUAGAUCCU